RNAcentral lists this ribosomal RNA (465 nucleotides) under uncultured bacterium. RNAcentral's name for it is "bacterial SSU rRNA". It matches the Rfam family "Bacterial small subunit ribosomal RNA", at positions 338 to 795 of the family's 1533-position model. The record is from RNAcentral.
CCUACGGGGUGCAGCAGUGGGGAAUAUUGCACAAUGGGCGCAAGCCUGAUGUAGCCAUGCCGCGUGUGUGAAGAAGACCUUCGGGUUGUAAAGCACUUUCAGCGGGGAGGAAGGCGAUAAGGUUAAUAACCUUGUCGAUUGACGUUACCCGCAGAAGAAGCACCGGCUAACUCCGUGCCAGCAGCCGCGGUAAUACGGAGGGUGCAAGCGUUAAUCGGAAUUACUGGGCGUAAAGCGCACGCAGGCGGUCUGUCAAGUCGGAUGUGAAAUCCCCGGGCUUAACCUGGGAACUGCAUUCGAAACUGGCAGGCUAGAGUCUUGUAGAGGGGGGUAGAAUUCCAGGUGUAGCGGUGUGAUGCGUAGAGAUCUGGAGGAAUACCGGUGGCGAAGGCGGCCCCCUGGACAAAGACUGACGCUCAGGUGCGAAAGCGUGGGGAGCAGACAGGAUUAGAUACCCUUGUAGUC